Molecule: long non-coding RNA, 472 nt
Filed under: Mus musculus (house mouse)
Lineage: Eukaryota; Metazoa; Chordata; Mammalia; Rodentia; Muridae
Description: long non-coding RNA chr10:73099453-73099925
Source: RNAcentral
GAGGGAGAAAGCCUCUCCGCUUGGGCAGGCGACAGCUUGGAAGCCUUUGUUCCCAGGCGCUGCGUUGGGUCUGGGUCCCAUCAGUACCGGGUGCCAGCAUCCUAAGCAGCGGGAGGCGCGUUGGCUACUCGCGUCUGACAGUGGACCCCAGACGUCCCCGUGCCUUCCCCUGCACAAGCAGAUCAGGGACCGCGAGGUGCGCCCGCGGUCGCCCGCGGAGCAGAGAGCUGUCUCCCGGGCUCGGGCGCCGGGUGAUUUUUCUCCCAGCUGGGGAAGGCGCCUCGGUGAACCCGCACCUGCAACUUGUUUGGUUUCCUCUCCCGCAGCGUGUGCAGCGGCGGCAUCAAAGUUUCUCUGUCUUCCCGGGGAAUCUGCCGUUUGGAUCGAUCCUCCCCGCUCGGUGUCCCCAGGCCUGCCGGGAAGCGAAUCGCCCGGCGCGCGGGUGAGAGGCGCGGCAGGAGCGGCGUGGUAG